AACGUAGGACGCAAACGUUAUCCGGAGUUACUGGGCGUAAAGCGCGUGCAGGCGGACGAGAAAGUCUUCUGUGAAAGCUCCCGGCUAAACUGGGGAAGGUCAGAGGAGACUGCAGGGCUGGAGGGCGGUAGAGGAGCGUGGAAUUCCGAGUGUAGUGGUGAAAUGCGUAGAGAUUUGGAGGAACACCAGUGGCGAAGGCGGCUUUCUGGGCUGUAACUGACGCUGAGGCGCGAAAGCGUGGGGAGCAAACAGG
This 253-nucleotide ribosomal RNA is filed under the name uncultured bacterium. RNAcentral describes it as "partial 16S ribosomal RNA". It matches the Rfam family "Bacterial small subunit ribosomal RNA", at positions 524 to 776 of the family's 1533-position model. The record is from RNAcentral.